RNAcentral lists this long non-coding RNA (262 nucleotides) under Gossypium barbadense (sea-island cotton). RNAcentral's name for it is "long non-coding RNA (GBAR_LNC000556)". The record is from RNAcentral. Lineage: Eukaryota; Viridiplantae; Streptophyta; Magnoliopsida; Malvales; Malvaceae.
UCUCUCUAUUUUUACCCAUAUUUCAUGCUAGGGUUCAUGAUUGGAAAUUUACCCAUGCAUGAGUUACUUGUACUUUGAUGGUUUCUGGAGGAAUAUGAAAGUUGGAUGUGUGUUAAACAUCUUUUCCUAGGUGAUUUUCAUGAAAAACCCCUAAAAGGACCUUUUUGCAAAAGGUGUAGAAUGUGUGGUAGAAAUGAGAAAUAAUGGAAAAAUGUGGGCUGCCAUAAGAGGUAAGUUCGAAUACCAGAUAAGUCUGAAUAAC